GAUGAACGCUGGCGGCGUGCCUAAUACAUGCAAGUCGAGCGAACAGACGAGGAGCUUGCUCCUCUGACGUUAGCGGCGGACGGGUGAGUAACACGUGGAUAACCUACCUAUAAGACUGGGAUAACUUCGGGAAACCGGAGCUAAUACCGGAUAAUAUAUUGAACCGCAUGGUUCAAUAGUGAAAGACGGUUUUGCUGUCACUUAUAGAUGGAUCCGCGCCGCAUUAGCUAGUUGGUAAGGUAACGGCUUACCAAGGCAACGAUGCGUAGCCGACCUGAGAGGGUGAUCGGCCACACUGGACCUGAGCCACGGUCCAGACUCCUACGGGAGGCAGCAGUAGGGAAUCUUCCGCAAUGGGCGAAAGCCUGACGGAGCAACGCCGCGUGAGUGAUGAAGGUCUUCGGAUCGUAAAACUCUGUUAUUAGGGAAGAACAAAUGUGUAAGUAACUAUGCACGUCUUGACGGUACCUAAUCAGAAAGCCACGGCUAACUACGU
Molecule: ribosomal RNA, 496 nt
Filed under: uncultured bacterium
Lineage: Bacteria
Description: partial 16S ribosomal RNA
Rfam family: Bacterial small subunit ribosomal RNA
Source: RNAcentral